AUCCCGGGCGUGGUGGUCCGGGGUUUCUCCCUGAUGGACUGGCCGCGCCUCGUGCGCGGCCAUUUUU
RNAcentral lists this non-coding RNA (67 nucleotides) under Palleronia salina. RNAcentral describes it as "Maribius salinus Singlet oxygen resistance RNA X". It matches the Rfam family "Singlet oxygen resistance RNA X". From Rfam's summary of the family: SorX (RSs2461)like SorY is a singlet oxygen induced sRNA that counteracts oxidative stress by targeting mRNA for a transporter in Rhodobacter. It also has an impact on resistance against organic hydroperoxides. The record is from Rfam by way of RNAcentral. Lineage: Bacteria; Pseudomonadati; Pseudomonadota; Alphaproteobacteria; Rhodobacterales; Roseobacteraceae.